Molecule: unclassified non-coding RNA, 1177 nt
Filed under: Hevea brasiliensis (rubber tree)
Lineage: Eukaryota; Viridiplantae; Streptophyta; Magnoliopsida; Malpighiales; Euphorbiaceae
Source: RNAcentral
AAAAUAGAUAUAUAAGAAAAGGAAGUUCUGGUAGCGUGGACAAGAGCUCAAUCUGUAGUUUACACAAAGAAGAUGCGAAAAAAGGAUAGAGUAAAAAUUUGAACUGCUAACCAGUCAUUCACUACACUUGAGCAUUCAGAAACCUGGGCUAAUUUACGUUGAAAUAUUGUGGUUCAGGGAGCUCAGUGAUCUAAUACCUUUCGAAAGGCUGUUUGCAACUCGACAUACAAAGGAAUGCACCUAAAGCACAAAUACAGAACCAUCACAACUACAUAUCUACAUCAUCUGCAGGUGAAGAUCAGCAUCCUGCUGCGCAAGCUCCACCAUCAUAGCUUCAUCAAAGAACUUGUUGAUGCUCACAUCUUCACUCAUUCCCUUUCUACGCCUUGUCUUCACCAUGAACUCACGAGCCAGAUGUUGGAUUGGAGCAGGCUCCAGUGGUCGUAGAACGAUGCUCUUGUCAAGAGGAUCCCCGGGGACAAUAGCCCAAUGAUCAAAUACUGAAAGACAAAACGCCUGCCCUUGGGUGUGAUACCUCAAGUCCGUUUCAAAACCAAAGGACUCGAUAACGGGUAAAAAUGCCUUGACAAUGUAGGCAGGGGUGCCAGGUUGAGGAACAUCAGCAGUAACGUGUCCACGCCUACGUGACAACACGGUGUAUAUAGCAGAGAGACAAUCCAUGGGCGUUUGGAUCUCCACAUAAUACACAGGUUCCAUAAGUCUGGGUGUUGCCAUAAGAAAAGCAGAGUAGGCUACACGUCGUGCAGUUGGAAUAAUCUGACCCGUUCCACGAUGCAACGGCUCCGGUGCAAUCUUCGCAUCAACGAUCUUGAAUUUAACAUUUCUAAUGGGCUCAUCGCAAAGGGGUCCUUCCCGAGCUCCCCAUUGGAACCCCUGAACAAUAGAAUCUUUAACAGCAUUCAACAAGCUCUUGUCCACUUCACUUGAGAGUGUAUCAUCCAAUAAGAUAUUAGGUCCCUGCUUAUCGGGUCCAAAUGCCCAAAUAGACCGUGCAGCAAGAAGAUCCCAGUCAUAUUUGGUUUGGAAAAAUUCACCUAGUUUCUUUCUAGGCCAAUCGAUGCUCACAACACCGUUCUCGAUGUCCUCAGCAAGCCCUCUCUCCAGAGGUUCAGCAAUCAUAGUGAUUUUAUUUUUCUUGUUAGGUGUUUCAGCAAAA